CCUACGGGAGGCAGCAGUGAGGAAUAUUGGUCAAUGGCCGGAAGGCUGAACCAGCCAUGCCGCGUGCAGGUCAGUGCCCUAUGGGCGUUAAACUUCCUUUGUGCGGGACGUAGAAAGUGACGGUACCGUAAGAAUAAGCCACGGCUAACUACGUGCCAGCAGCCGCGGUAAUACGUAGGUGGCAAGCGUUAUCCGGAUUUACUGGGUGUAAAGGGCGAGUAGGCGGGAUUGCAAGUCAGAUGUGAAAACUAUGGGCUCAACCGUGAGAGUGCAUUUGAAACUGCAGUUCUUGAGUGAUGGAGAGGCAGGCGGAAUUCACGGUGGAGCGGUGGAAUGCGUAGAGAUCGGGAGGAACACCAGUUGCGAAGGCGGGCGGCUGGACAGUAACUGACGCUGAGGCGCGAAAGCGUGGGGAGCAAACAGGAUUAGAUACCCCUGUAGUC
Molecule: ribosomal RNA, 443 nt
Filed under: uncultured bacterium
Lineage: Bacteria
Description: partial 16S ribosomal RNA
Rfam family: Bacterial small subunit ribosomal RNA
Source: RNAcentral